GAUGAACGCUGGCGGCGUGCCUAAUACAUGCAAGUCGAGCGAACAGACGAGGAGCUUGCUCCUCUGACGUUAGCGGCGGACGGGUGAGUAACACGUGGAUAACCUACCUAUAAGACUGGGAUAACUUCGGGAAACCGGAGCUAAUACCGGAUAAUAUAUUGAACCGCAUGGUUCAAUAGUGAAAGACGGUUUUGCUGUCACUUAUAGAUGGAUCCGCGCCGCAUUAGCUAGUUGGUAAGGUAACGGCUUACCAAGGCAACGAUGCGUAGCCGACCUGAGAGGAUGAUCGGCCACACUGGAACUGAGACAGGGUCCAGACUCCUAGGGGAGGCAGCAGUGGGGAAUAUUCGACAAUGGGCGAAAGCCUGAUGCAGCAAUGCCGCGUGGGUGAAGAAGGCCUUCGGAUUGUAAAGCUCUUUUGUUGGGAAAGAAAAGAUGUAGAUUAAUACCUCGCUGUUUUGACGGUACCUAAACAAAAAGCACCGGCUAACUUCGUG
RNAcentral lists this ribosomal RNA (497 nucleotides) under uncultured bacterium. Its description in RNAcentral is "partial 16S ribosomal RNA". It matches the Rfam family "Bacterial small subunit ribosomal RNA", at positions 28 to 507 of the family's 1533-position model. The record is from RNAcentral.